CCUACGGGUGGCUGCAGUAGGGAAUAUUGCGCAAUGGAGGAAACCCUGAAGCAGCAACGCCGCGUGAAGGAUGAAGGUUUUCGGAUUGUAAACUCCUUUGGUUAGAGAAGAUAAUGACGGUAUCUAACGAAUAAGCACCGGCUAACUCCGUGCCAGCAGCCGCGGUAAUACGGAGGGGGCAAGCGUUAUUCGGAAUCACUGGGCGUAAAGAGCGCGGAGGCGGGGUAGCAAGUCAGAUGUGAAAUCCUAUGGCUUAACCAUAGAGCUGCAUUUGAAACUGUUAUUCUAGAGUAUGGGAGGGGUAGGUGGAAUUCCUGGUGUAGGGGUAAAAUGCGUAGAGAUCAAGAGGAACACUCGUGGCGAAGGCGACCUGCUAGAACAUAACUGACGCUGAUGCGCGAAAGCGUGGGGAGCAAACAGGAUUAGAUACCCCGGUAGUC
This 440-nucleotide ribosomal RNA is filed under the name uncultured bacterium. RNAcentral's name for it is "partial 16S ribosomal RNA". It matches the Rfam family "Bacterial small subunit ribosomal RNA", at positions 338 to 795 of the family's 1533-position model. The record is from RNAcentral.